AAGGAUGGGAGAGAGCACUUCGGUGACUCGUCGGACCCGCGGGGAGCUGGCGGGCGGGGUUGGAUUCUCGUACGAGAGGGAUAGGAUAGCCCCGCCCAUCACCUCCGGGUUUUUCCCUUCUCGUCCUUGUCUUCUUCCCCUGACGGUCCUUUGGCGGCUUCUCCCUUCUUUUUGAGUUCCACCGCCGCACCUUCUGUGGGCUUCUGCCUCUUAUUCUGCAAGGAAACUCGUGCC
RNAcentral lists this long non-coding RNA (234 nucleotides) under Spirodela polyrhiza (greater duckweed). Its description in RNAcentral is "long non-coding RNA (SPOL_LNC000801)". Lineage: Eukaryota; Viridiplantae; Streptophyta; Magnoliopsida; Alismatales; Araceae. The record is from RNAcentral.